CAAAAACAAAAAACAAGAGUUUUUCGCGCGAAGCCGCUGUAGCCGCAUCGGCACGCGCAUUAUAUUUGAUAUAUUUAUUAUGUAAUUAAUUAAUUUAAUAAAAUUUUUUCAUGAAAUUUCUUGAAACUUAAACUUGUGGCACUUUGAUGAAGAUUGGUUAGUGAUUGUAUUUUUACGUUGUUGUUGUAGUAGUCAGAGAAUCCAAGCAGUGCACCUGAAAUAAUAGUUAGCGACAACAAUGGACACUGACAAUGCUAAUUGUAGCUGUAUCAUUAUUGCCAACCGUUAUCUUUUGUUGUAACUAAGUGAAUAAUCUAUACAACAAUAUAUUUGCCUUUUUUCAAUAAUAAGUACACAGGCGGUUUCUUAGUUCAAUGUUAAGUGCUGGAUAAGUUCAAGUAAAAAAAAACAAAUUCUUGAGAUAGAUUCAAACACAAAUUGAGGUUUUUACUUUAAAAUUUUAGGCUAGGUCAUAGGUAGAAUUCGUAAUAAAUUUUGAGAAGUAGGGUUAAUAAAUAAGGCGGUUAGGAUUUAAUUCAAAAUGAUUCUUUAAUUGUAGUUCUGAAUUACUGCGGCAGAGCGCGAAGUGUGGUGGCCAGCAGUGGAUGUCUUAUGUGGGUAAUGAUUAACCCGCAAUCCUUAUCGGAUUCCAGCUGAAGAUCGCAAGCUUUAUAGUGAAAAGAACUACGUGUUUAACUUUAAUAUUUCUUUAAAUUAAUGAAUAAUUAAAAAAAAGAUGUGUGGUGUCGUGGGACACCAGAUAGGAACGAAGUUCCUUAUUAUAAAAAUAUUAAUUUUAAGUUCAAUUCGAGGUACAAAGAAAAUAAAACUGGAGGUUCCGCAACAACCCACGGUCAUUCGGUAACGUGCGAACUUAUUGUGGUACACUUCAUUCACGGUUGUAUGCAUAAGAGUUAGUGUAUUGCGCGAAAGCUCUGAGAUCGUGGUCAAUGAAUGAUAAAAAAAUAUGUUAUUUUUUGUACGUUAUUACAAAGUUAAGUCGUACACUGUGUGCAUUACUAAUAAAAAUCUUGCGUUACGGACGUUUUUUCCCAAUUAGGGUACCCCUCCGCCUCGUCCCAUAAGAAACUUCGUUCCAAAAAUUAUAAUUUUUAAAUCAAUUUGUUUUCCAUUUUAAAACUUUUAAUUUAAAUGAUGGAAAAUGAACUUAAUUUUACCAGUAUGUACUUAUUUAUGUAUUUGAUUUCCGCAAAAAAAUUGUUCUAAAGCAUCAAAGAUAUCUAAGCUAAGAAUUUGUAUACAUAUUUCAAGCCAAAUGACCCCAAUAUUGGUGCGAGUUAGUUGAAUCACUUUAGAGUCGAGUUCAAACACAUGUUGCCAAUUGAUACACGUGACCAAUAUGACAUAGUGUAGGAUGUGACUUUAUAAUAUACAUUUAUACAUAGAUUAUGUACUUGUAAAAGAGUAUAAGUUAUUAUAACUACUUUUUUUUUGCUACACCAACUAGAACUCGGUAAAGAAUUCGACGAGUGCAAUCACCAGGGUCCUUAAGCCUGCUUCUAUUGCCAGAGCUGAAGACGUCUAAUGACAGAGUUUUUUUUUUUUCUUGCUUAGAUGGGUGGACGAGCUCACAGCCCACCUGGUGUUACUGGAGCUCAUAGACAUCUACGACGUAAAUGCGCCACCUACCUUGAGAUAUAAGUUCUAAGGUCUCAAGUAUACUUACAACGGCCGCCCCACCCUUCAAACCGAAACGAAUUACUGCUUCACGGCAGAAAUAGGCAGUUAAUGGAUCUGAUGAAUUUGGAUGAAUGGAUCUGAGUCUGAGGCGUCCACGGUGACUGGCUAGUGACAUGUGAGCAUAAGUCGAAAAGUAGUCAGCGGUGGCACCGAUAAAGCGAAUAUCAUGACGCAUAGCCUUAUCGAAGUACUGUUCCAACGUUGACUUCCGGUGACAACGGUUUUUCCUGAUCGGUUAAUUUAUUAAGUAUAUUAAUUUAGUUUAUUUAUUAAAUAUUUUUUAACGAAAUUUAGUUUCCGAUAACCAUUAAAUUCUUUCAGAAUAAUGAUUUAAGUUUUUUCCUGAUCGGAUAUAAAUACAAAAAGUCUGAAUACUUUGGUCAUGAUUAGCACAGCAACGUGGAGAAUUAUUAUGAAGCAUUAAAAGCGAAAUUCUUCUUUUACGUUUGGCCGCGACACCAUCUAUUUAAAAGGCUAACGAGACAGACUUCUCUAUUUGAAGUAUGUAAUAUCUAAUAAAGAUAAUGAAACACAUACAUUCUACACUACACUAUACUAUCACAACACUAUUUUCUGUCACUAAAUAACACUUGUUUCACAAAUGGUAUUGUCACAUCGAUCCAUAGACAGCUAACUCGCUUUUUUUGUCAUUGUAUUCUCGCAGUAAUUAGUAAAGUGGUUAUCUAAAUGCUACCGCCCACCCUGGGGAUUCGAAGUGUCUAUUGUAUUAAUUGUUUAAUUAUUGGUCCACGGCUGAUAACAGCAAAGCGGUGUAACUGGUGGUAGGACCUCUUGUGAGUCCGCACGGGUAGGUAACACCAGCCCGCCUAUUUCUAUCGUGAAGCAGUAAUGCGUUUCGGUUUGAAGGAUUGGGCAGCCGUUGUAACAAUACUAAGACCUUAGAACUCAUAUCUCAAGGUGUGUGGCGGCAUUUACGUUAGAGAUGUCUAUGAGCUCCAGUAAACACUUAACACCAGGUGGGAUGUGAGCUCCUCCACCAAUCUGAGCGAUAAAAAAAGAUGUGUGGUGUCGUGGGACACCGGAUAGGAACGAAGUUCCUUUUUAUAAAAAUAUUAAUUUUAAGUUCUAUUCGAGGUAUAAAGAAAAUAAAACUGGAGAUUUCGCAACAACCCGCGGUCAUUCGGUAACGUGCGAACUUAUUGUGGUACACUUCAUUCACGGUUGUUUGCAUAAGAGUUAGUGUAUUGCGCAAACGAACGCUCUGAGAUCGUGGUCAAUGAAUGAUAAAAAAAUAUGUUAUUUUUUGUACGUUAUUACAAAGUUAAGUCGUACACUGUGUGCAUUACUAAUAAAAAUCUUACGUUACGGACGUUUUUUCCCGGUUAGGGUACCCCUCCGCAUCGUCCCAUAAGGAACUUCGUUCCUAAAACCUUUUUGAUUUCAAACUUGUUAAAAACCUUUUUAAGGUUUGAUUACGUAACAUUUAUGAAUGUUUUGUAUUGGUAAUGAUUCGCCGCCUCUCGUUUCCAGUCGAAUCCCAAUUAACGAAUACCGAAAUACAACUAAUCAGCAAAACAAUUGCGACCUUAAUUGCGUCCUGUGUUUAAUGCGAAACGAUAAAUUUUGCCACCCUCGCUUUAACGAAGCUGUAAGAAUACCCAGACCAAUUACGAGAAAAUCGCCGGAUCCCCCUCCCCACAAUUUGAAUGUUGGCAACAUAAACACAAGGCGAUUCAUUCGUAGCACAUGUCUGAUAGGAAAAUGCCGUUGGCAGUUUAAAACAAUUGACGAGGUGACUUAAAUCGAUCGCUGUGUUAAUUUGUCUGUUACAUUAAAAUAGACUCUACUGUUGUUAUACGUAAAUCAGAGUUUUUAACGAAAUAAUUUUUCAUAUAUGGAUUAAAACGCUCAUUACACAACAGAUUAAUUAAUAAGCAUUACACAUUACACAUACUUAAACAUUAUAUACAUAAAUCUGAGUUUUUAAUGAAUGAAUUUUUCAUAUAUGUAUUAAAACACUUAAUUAAUGAAUAAGCAUUAUUUAAUAUGAGCGCGCACUUAACUGAACACUUAAAGACAAGAAGGAAGUUAAGUAAAGAGUGAGAUAGCUACAUUUUAGGACGACAGGUGUCGAAUGCGUUUAGGAAUUGGUUUGAUAUCUCACAGAAUUGAAUAAAAAAGAUUCUAAUCCGAGUUGCGAAUGUUUAAUUCGUUUUUUUUUUUACCUAAUUGCCUACCUUUUUUUUUUUUUUAACACUGGGGAAUCCAUUUCCGGAUACCCGGUCGAGGGGGGUAACGGACCGGGUUAUGUCGGACUCCGGGGCCUCCUGAGAGGAAGAAGGGGAGAAGAGAAGGGCCGAAGUCCUUCACCUCCCCCAAUUUCUCACAGGAGACUACGCCUUGAAAAAGGCGCGCGAAGCACUUGCCCCGCAGAACGACUAACGACUAAACCCCAUCGAGCUCCACCACACCGACUACACGAAACUUACGGUACCGCGAUGCGCGCCGAAAAACCCAAUUGCCUACCUACCUAAUGGCUGGUAGCCUAGGGGGCUAUUACCGCUAUGCUCGGAAGUGAGCUCAGGGACUGAACCGGAAAGAAUUGCUGAUACUAAUCAUAACAAGGGCGUGCUUUGCUGAAUCUACUAUGGGAUCGCAAUCGUGACCCACUGACAGAAGAUCCGGCGAGAAACUCAGUGGGUACCGACAUCAAUCGACAAAGAGUCGGCAAGCUGAAGACGCAGGUUCAUAUAUUCCUAGACCUUGUGAUCGCUGGAGCAGAUGGAUUCUUGAGGCCACGCAUCAUCAAACUGUAUCUGGACCGACCCCCGACCAGUUGGAGCGAUAACUUACGCGAUAAGAGCGCCUGGCGAGAAAUGGACGAGCUUACCCAAAGAUAUUACAUUAGAAUAGGCCUAUAUGGAAGACUGCGGGCUGAUCAUGAUACAAAGAUGUUAUUAAAAUACAUACAAAGUGUUCUAUUCUAUCAGACCACAGACGUCCACUGUUGGGCAUAGGCCGCCCCCAAGCCAGGACACAAAGAUCGGUCCUGCGCUGCUUGCCUCAAUAGGUCGCCUGUCCACCUUGUGGGUUGCCUACCCAGGCUACAUAUAUACUUAUACAAGGUAAAAGCGAACAGAAUCUUCAAACAGGGAAUCACCUAAGUAAGUCGUGUAAAUGUAAACUACAUUUUUUUAUAUCAUAUCUGUACACGGUGGACGAGCUCAUAGCCCACCUGGUGUUAAGUGGUUACCGGAACACAUAGACAUCUACAAAGUAACCCACUUUGAGAUGAGUUCUAAGGUCUCUGUAACUCGGUAACUGUACAACUGUCUCUGUAAUUAAAACGGCUACCCCACCCUUCAAAACGAAACACAUUGCUGCUUCACGGCAAAAAUAGUCAGGGCGGUGGUACCUACCCGUGCGAACUCACAAGAGUGCCUACCAACAGUAAAACAACACCAGUACAUAAAGUAAGUAAGUACAUUACCAAGUUUUUUUUUGCUACCAAGUUACUGCAGACGCGAAAUACUGCUGACAGAAACGAGAUGAAACGGCACGUCUGCGGUAAAGGAAGGAUGCACAGUAUCCUUAUGUAGUCCUUAUUAAAUGGACCAAAUCUUCAGAAACCAAAACUAAAGUUUCUAAACCAGCGCAACCAGUAGUAGUACUAUAUUUAUACGAGCUUUAUAAACCUCAAAGCAGAAUCUCGGUGCUCUGGGGGUACGGCAGGGGCGCGUUUACAUCACCUGCCAAAUUUAAUUUAAUGCUAAUUUGAGUAAGCAACCCUUUUAACGAACUAAUGUACCAGCCUUCCCUUUGUACGUAGUCAUGUAGUAUAUAGGGGGUAUUUAUGUUUUUAAGUCAACUUAUGCCUUGUUUUAAUCUAUCUAUAUAUAUAAAAAUGAAUUGCUGUUCGUUAGUUUCGCUAAAACUCGAGAACGGCUGGACCGGUUUGGCUAAUUUUGGUCUUGAAUUAUUUGUGGAAGUCCAGAGAAGGUUUAAAAGGUAGAUAUAUGAAUGAAAAUGUUCAGAAUUAAAUAAAAAUAUCAAUUUUGUUUUUUCUUUGAUGUGUCCCCCGUCAGACGGAUUCCUUUUGUUUGUUUUAAGUUUAUUUUAUACAAAAGUUUAGGUAUUUUAUUUAUCGAUUGAGGCACUACGAAGUCUGCCGGGUCAGCUAGUCACAAAUAAAAAUCGUAUAAGUAUCGUUGAAAAAAAUAACUAAAGUUAAUAUUCGUAAAAUUUUACCUACGAAAAAUUAUUCAACCAAAAAACUAAUGAUCGGUCAAUGGCUUUAAGUCUACUUCAUACAACAUACGAAUUCAUUCAUAAAUCGUUCGUCAAAGUAGAGUAUCCAUAAUUUAAGCUGCAUUCCUAAACACUAUAAACUUCAAAUAAACAUAUAACUGCUAAUUAGUUUUAACUACAGAUUUUUAGUCUGAGAUGCCUAAAUAAUCCUCUUCUGGGAAUUGAGGACUAUUGUUGCAAAUAUUCCGAAUAUUAAUUCUUUAGUUUAUUUUACAAUUCAUAUUUAUUGGAUUGAACAUUAUGUAACAGCUACCUACUUUAUUUAUAGAAUUAAAUUACUUUUACACC
Molecule: long non-coding RNA, 6258 nt
Organism: Bombyx mori (domestic silkworm)
Lineage: Eukaryota; Metazoa; Arthropoda; Insecta; Lepidoptera; Bombycidae
Exons: 3
Source: RefSeq, a predicted model, not a curated record